GAUGAACGCUAGCUACAGGCUUAACACAUGCAAGUCGAGGGGUAACGAGAGGGAAGCUUGCUUUCCUUGUCGACGACCGGCGCACGGGUGAGUAACGCGUAUCCAACCUGCCCCCAACUAGGGAAUAACCUUGCGAAAGUAAGACUAAUACCCUAUAAUUUCCUCAGAUGGCAUCUGACGAGGAAUAAAGAUUUAUCGGUUGUGGAUGGGGAUGCGUCUGAUUAGCUUGUUGGCGGGGUAACGGCCCACCAAGGCAACGAUCAGUAGGGGUUCUGAGAGGAAGGUCCCCCACAUUGGAACUGAGACACGGUCCAAACUCCUACGGGAGGCAGCAGUGAGGAAUAUUGGUCAAUGGGCGGAAGCCUGAACCAGCCAAGUAGCGUGCAGGAUGACGGCCCUAUGGGUUGUAAACUGCUUUUAUACAGGAGUAAAGUUAGCCACGUGUGGUUAUUUGUAGGUACUGUAUGAAUAAGGACCGGCUAAUUCCGUGCCAGCAGCCGCCGUAA
RNAcentral lists this ribosomal RNA (506 nucleotides) under uncultured bacterium. RNAcentral describes it as "partial 16S ribosomal RNA". It matches the Rfam family "Bacterial small subunit ribosomal RNA", at positions 28 to 523 of the family's 1533-position model. The record is from RNAcentral.